Molecule: ribosomal RNA, 900 nt
Filed under: Cytospora pinastri
Lineage: Eukaryota; Fungi; Ascomycota; Sordariomycetes; Diaporthales; Cytosporaceae
Description: LSU rRNA
Rfam family: Eukaryotic large subunit ribosomal RNA
Source: RNAcentral
GCAUAUCAAUAAGCGGAGGAAAAGAAACCAACAGGGAUUGCCCUAGUAACGGCGAGUGAAGCGGCAACAGCUCAAAUUUGAAAGCUGGCUUAGGCCCGCAUUUGUAAUUUGCAGAGGAUGCUUCUGGCGAGGUGCCUUCCGAGUUCCCUGGAACGGGACGCCAUAGAGGGUGAGAGCCCCGUAUGGAUGGACACCAAACCUGUGUGAAGCUCCUUCAACGAGUCGAGUAGUUUGGGAAUGCUGCUCUAAAUGGGAGGUAAAUCUCUUCUAAAGCUAAAUACCGGCCAGAGACCGAUAGCGCACAAGUAGAGUGAUCGAAAGAUGAAAAGCACCUUGAAAAGGGGGUUAAACAGUACGUGAAAUUGUUGAAAGGGAAGCGCUUGUGACCAGACUUGCGCCGGGCAGCUCAUCAGGGGUUCUCCCCUGUGCACUCUGCCCGGCUCAGGCCAGCAUCGGUUUUCGUGGGAGGAUAAGAACGGUAGGAACGUGGCCCCCUCUCGGGGGGGUGUUAUAGCCUACCGUACGAUACUCCCGUGGGGACCGAGGUUCGCGCUCCGCAAGGAUGCUGGCGUAAUGGUCAUCAGCGACCCGUCUUGAAACACGGACCAAGGAGUCGUCCAUUAGAGCGAGCGUUUGGGUGUAAAACCCGCACGCGUAAUGAAAGUGAACGCAGGUGAGAGCUUCGGCGCAUCAUCGACCGAUCCUGAUGUCUUCGGAUGGAUUUGAGUAAGAGUUUUAACGGACGGACCCGAAAGACAGUGAACUAUGCUUGUAUAGGGUGAAGCCAGAGGAAACUCUGGUGGAGGCUCGCAGCGGUUCUGACGUGCAAAUCGAUCGUCAAAUAUGAGCAUGGGGGCGAAAGACUAAUCGAACUGUCUAGUAGCUGGGUUACCGCCGAAG